AUUGAACGCUGGCGGCAGGCCUAACACAUGCAAGUCGAGCGGAUGAAGGGAGCUUGCUCCUGGAUUCAGCGGCGGACGGGUGAGUAAUGCCUAGGAAUCUGCCUGGUAGUGGGGGAUAACGUCCGGAAACGGGCGCUAAUACCGCAUACGUCCUGAGGGAGAAAGUGGAGGAUCUUCGGACCUCACGCUAUCAGAUGAGCCUAGGUCGGAUUAGCUAGUUGGUGGGGUAAAGGCCUACCAAGGCGACGAUCCGUAACUGGUCUGAGAGGAUGAUCAGUCACACUGGAACUGAGACACGGUCCAGACUCCUACGGGAGGCAGCAGUGGGGAAUAUUGGACAAUGGGCGAAAGCCUGAUCCAGCCAUGCCGCGUGUGUGAAGAAGGUCUUCGGAUUGUAAAGCACUUUAAGUUGGGAGGAAGGGCAGUAAGUUAAUACCUUGCUGUUUUGACGUUACCAACAGAAUAAGCACCGGCUAACCUCGUG
RNAcentral lists this ribosomal RNA (484 nucleotides) under uncultured bacterium. Its description in RNAcentral is "partial 16S ribosomal RNA". It matches the Rfam family "Bacterial small subunit ribosomal RNA", at positions 30 to 507 of the family's 1533-position model. The record is from RNAcentral.